Molecule: ribosomal RNA, 372 nt
Filed under: uncultured organism
Description: bacterial SSU rRNA
Rfam family: Bacterial small subunit ribosomal RNA
Source: RNAcentral
CGUAGGGAGCAAGCGUUGUUCGGAUUUACUGGGCGUAAAGGGCGCGUAGGCGGCGCGGUAAGUCACUUGUGAAAUCUCUGAGCUUAACUCAGAACGGCCAAGUGAUACUGCAGUGCUAGAGUGCAGAAAGGGCAAUCGGAAUUCUUGGUGUAGCGGUGAAAUGCGUAGAUAUCAAGAGGAACACCUGAGGCGAAGGCGGGUUGCUAGGCUGACACUGACGCUGAGGCGCGAAAGCCAGGGGAGCAAACGGGAUUAGAUACCCCGGUGGUCCUGGCCCUAAACGAUGAAUACUUGGUGUCUGGAGUUCUAAUACUCCGGGUGCCGUCGCUAACGUUUUUAGUAUUCCGCCUGGGGAGUACGCUCGCAAGAGUG